CCUGCCGCCGCUCGAUCACGCGCUAACGCUCGUCGCGCCGCCGCGCCCCGACCUGGAAGGGAUCGUGUGAAUACUCACCUACUACAAGAAACAUCCCUAUUCUACGCAGCAGAUAACGGGCGAGCCGUGGACGUGGGUGAUAUCGUAGCGAGAAGCUAUGUCAGCGUAGCCGAGAAGUUAAUGAUGAAAAUAAAAUUACAUUCCGUCUGUGUAAAACUCAGCACCGAUUUAAUAUUCUAUUUAUUUGCUCGAAGAGAACGAAACGUAACAAGAAAUGUGAUGCAUCUCACCUGUCUGCCGUAGCCAUUCUGUUUCAUCGCCAUUUCAUAAACAGCAAAAUGUUAAUUGUUAUCUGGCCUAUCUGACAAUGCGAUGCGAUCGCUUUAUAACAAAACUUCAUAUUUGUGCUUGUGCCAUUUUCACUGCUCACAUGGACGGAACGGCGCACGGCGUAAAAAGCAAUAUCGAUAAUUCAAUGUUAUUAUAAUUUUAGGAAAUAAAAUUAUAAUCGUU
Long non-coding RNA from Ostrinia nubilalis (European corn borer), 513 nucleotides. RefSeq lists it as uncharacterized. Lineage: Eukaryota; Metazoa; Arthropoda; Insecta; Lepidoptera; Crambidae. The record is from RefSeq and is a predicted model, not a curated record. The transcript is spliced from 2 exons.